AACGAACGCUGGCGGCAGGCCUAACACAUGCAAGUCGAGCGAGAUCUUCGGAUCUAGCGGCGGACGGGUGAGUAACGCGUGGGAACGUGCCCUUUGCUUCGGAAUAGCCCCUGGAAACGGGGAGUAAUACCGGAUGUGCCCUAUUGGGGAAAGAUUUAUCGGCAAAGGAUCGGCCCGCGUUGGAUUAGGUAGUUGGUGGGGUAAUGGCCUACCAAGGCUUCGAUCGAUAGGGGGUGUGAGAGCAUGACCCCCCACACGGGUACUGAGACACGGACCCGACUCCUACGGGAGGCAGCAGUAAGGAAUAUUGGACAAUGGGCGGAAGCCUGAUCCAGCCAUGCCGCGUGAAGGACGAAGGCGCUCAGCGUUGUAAACUUCUUUUGGAUGGGAACAAUAACUCCGACUUGUCGGAACUUGAGGGUACCAUCAGAAUAAGCACCGGCUAACUCCGUGCCAGCAGCCGCGGUAAAGUACAGUGU
Molecule: ribosomal RNA, 479 nt
Filed under: uncultured bacterium
Lineage: Bacteria
Description: bacterial SSU rRNA
Rfam family: Bacterial small subunit ribosomal RNA
Source: RNAcentral